This 71-nucleotide transfer RNA is filed under the name Camelus bactrianus (Bactrian camel). It matches the Rfam family "tRNA". Rfam says of the family: Transfer RNA (tRNA) molecules are approximately 80 nucleotides in length. Their secondary structure includes four short double-helical elements and three loops (D, anti-codon, and T loops). Lineage: Eukaryota; Metazoa; Chordata; Mammalia; Artiodactyla; Camelidae. The record is from Rfam by way of RNAcentral. RNAcentral also lists the same sequence under 1 other name.
GAAGGUAUAACUCAGUGGCAGAGUGCCUGCUUAGCAUGCAUAAAUCCUGGGUUCAAUCCCCAGUACCUCCA